CCGCCACCUGCCUGUCACUGUGUAACCACCCCAAAAAAUGCUCUAUGGGUAUUGCACCGAUGUCCAAAACUUCCAAACCAGAAGUGUCUUCGUUUGGCUACAUUUGACCAGCCGCCGCAGCGCUUUAGAGAACGCAGACUCGGACUUGGAGACAGGCACAGACAUAAUAAGAAAAGAACACAGAAGAGAAGAAUAUCAGCUCCCUGCAGAAGUUAAAUGUGAAAAGAGGUAAAGAGGCGUGACUGCCAAGUACAAGAAGGAGAGGACAGACGCAGAUACUGCCAGCAAAAAUCGUCUUUCUUGCGCCGGGUGAUGUGACGAAUUCUGCCUGCCUGCCAAGAAUUAGAUGCACCUCGCGUGUGGUAACCGGUGGUAAUGCCCUUUUAUGCUGAGAAAAGAGGUGGACGCAAAUCUCGGCAGAUGCUGUGUGAUAAAGCAGUUUCCAAAUCCCAUAGUGUCUGCAGUCACGGAAAAUGCAACGAGUCCUACUCAAAGAUAACCGACCCUCCACUCCAAGGAUAAGGAUUGUGACAUUUUUCAGUUUCAGUUUGGUUCCACCAUUUGUACUGUAAGCUUGUGACGGAGUACCUUCACUACAGUUGAGUAAGCGCUUGGACUGCCAUACCAACGAGCCUGGCUCUUUCGCUUUGCUGUCAAAAUUGCAUGUUUGGUACCCUGCAGACCUGUGUUUGAAUCUGGGCAGGGUGACUGCUCUCGCCUUUGGCUGCAUAUGGUGUCAGAAGUGGGAUGGCUUGCCUUGAGGUCAUCUGAGCCAGGUCCAGAGUCCGAACCGUGUGAGGGACGACCAUGGGUAACAUUAAUGAUGGGAUGUGUAUAGUGUACUUUUUUUAGUAAUACUGAUCAUAUGUCAUCAUUUUACUGAUUUUAUUUUUAUUUGAAGAUAUUUUGGUAAAGAUGUACAUGCUGCUGU
Long non-coding RNA from Micropterus salmoides (largemouth bass), 931 nucleotides. RefSeq lists it as uncharacterized. The record is from RefSeq and is a predicted model, not a curated record. The transcript has 4 exons. Lineage: Eukaryota; Metazoa; Chordata; Actinopteri; Centrarchiformes; Centrarchidae.